RNAcentral lists this ribosomal RNA (440 nucleotides) under uncultured bacterium. Its description in RNAcentral is "partial 16S ribosomal RNA". It matches the Rfam family "Bacterial small subunit ribosomal RNA", at positions 338 to 795 of the family's 1533-position model. The record is from RNAcentral.
CCUACGGGAGGCAGCAGUAGGGAAUAUUGCUCAAUGGGGGAAACCCUGAAGCAGCAACGCCGCGUGGAGGAUGAAGGUUUUCGGAUUGUAAACUCCUUUUGUUAGAGAAGAUAAUGACGGUAUCUAACGAAUAAGCACCGGCUAACUCCGUGCCAGCAGCCGCGGUAAUACGGAGGGUGCAAGCGUUACUCGGAAUCACUGGGCGGAAAGAGCGCGUAGGCGGGAUAGAAAGUCAGAUGUGAAAUCCUAUGGCUUAACCAUAGAACUGCAUUUGAAACUGUUAUUCUAGAGUAUGGGAGAGGUAGGUGGAAUUCUUGGUGUAGGGGUAAAAUCCGUAGAGAUCAAGAGGAAUACUCAUUGCGAAGGCGACCUGCUAGAACAUAACUGACGCUGAUGCGCGAAAGCGUGGGGAGCAAACAGGAUUAGAUACCCCGGUAGUC